CACUCCUACGGGAGGCAGCAGUGGGGAAUUUUGGACAAUGGGCGAAAGCCUGAUCCAGCCAUGCCGCGUGCAGGAUGAAGGCCUUCGGGUUGUAAACUGCUUUUGUACGGAACGAAACGGCCUUUUCUAAUAAAGAGGGCUAAUGACGGUACCGUAAGAAUAAGCACCGGCUAACUACGUGCCAGCAGCCGCGGUAAUACGUAGGGUGCAAGCGUUAAUCGGAAUUACUGGGCGUAAAGCGUGCGCAGGCGGUUAUGUAAGACAGUUGUGAAAUCCCCGGGCUCAACCUGGGAACUGCAUCUGUGACUGCAUAGCUAGAGUACGGUAGAGGGGGAUGGAAUUCCGCGUGUAGCAGUGAAAUGCGUAGAUAUGCGGAGGAACACCGAUGGCGAAGGCAAUCCCCUGGACCUGUACUGACGCUCAUGCACGAAAGCGUGGGGAGCAAACAGGAUUAGAAACCCUGGUAGUCCCAUGA
Molecule: ribosomal RNA, 475 nt
Filed under: uncultured organism
Description: partial 16S ribosomal RNA
Rfam family: Bacterial small subunit ribosomal RNA
Source: RNAcentral